AAAAAAUGAAAGAAAACCCAACCACCCUACACCGAAAACAACUCCCCGCCCCACGUUUCUCCGGCGACCUAAUCCUCUCGCGAGCUCACCUCUCGCGUGUAGAGCUAGUGAGCGUUCCCCACCUCCGUCAACCACCUCGGUCGCCGCUAUCGGCCUCCCCGGUCACCGCCUCCUGGCCGCUCGCGCCCCUCGAUAGCGAUGGGCCGCUAGGUUCCUGCCCGCUGCCACUCUCACUCAAUCCGCUGCUGACAACCCUCGGCCGCCGCUACUCUCACUCAAUCCGCAGCUGACGUCCCUCCUCCGCCACCGCGGCCAUAGAAGGAGGCUAACCCAAGUAGCUAAUGCACGUUCCUCCUUCAGUGCCCCCGCCGUUCCCCUUCGACCUCCC
Molecule: long non-coding RNA, 388 nt
Filed under: Hordeum vulgare
Lineage: Eukaryota; Viridiplantae; Streptophyta; Magnoliopsida; Poales; Poaceae
Description: long non-coding RNA (HVUL_LNC002004)
Source: RNAcentral